Molecule: transfer RNA, 71 nt
Filed under: archaeon
Lineage: Archaea
Description: tRNA-His
Rfam family: tRNA
About the family: Transfer RNA (tRNA) molecules are approximately 80 nucleotides in length.
Source: RNAcentral
GCAAUAGUAGUUUAGUGGUAAAAUAUAGGAUUGUGGAUCCUAUGUCGCGAGUUCGAUUCCCGCCUAUUGCC